CACGAUUUCCCUUCUUUGUCCUCUCCCUCUCUCUCCUGGCCGUCGACGGCAGUUCUCCCUCUAGUUGAACAAGUUCGACGGCACCCUCCCUCUCGCUCGGCUUAGUUGAUUUGGAGUGCAAAGCAAGUGACGAUGAUGGUUUUGAUGACUUGACAAAGAAAAUGCCUUCUGAAGAGAAAGCUGUUGACAAACUAUCACUUGGAACUGCUGAUACUCCUGCAUUAAAAGAGCUCGCCUCACUCUCUUGCAUCUCCAUGAAGCAUGUUUUUUUCACUUUCACGUCAUUUAAGGAACCAAAACUGAGUAACAUUCCACUGUAGUUCAUUGGUAAGAAAACACCAAAUCAUGCCAUCAAAGAUGGCAAACCAAAUGGGGAAGUUACUUCUGCAGAUAUCUUGGACCAUCCUCCUCAUGGAACCAAGGGGAAUAGUUCUGUUAAAAUGGUUUGGAGAACCACCGCAACCACAAUAUCUAUCCCCUUUUCCCCAGAAUCUUCACUUUUGAGACGACAACAA
Molecule: long non-coding RNA, 515 nt
Organism: Prosopis cineraria
Lineage: Eukaryota; Viridiplantae; Streptophyta; Magnoliopsida; Fabales; Fabaceae
Exons: 2
Source: RefSeq, a predicted model, not a curated record